This 497-nucleotide ribosomal RNA is filed under the name uncultured bacterium. RNAcentral describes it as "partial 16S ribosomal RNA". It matches the Rfam family "Bacterial small subunit ribosomal RNA", at positions 28 to 507 of the family's 1533-position model. The record is from RNAcentral.
GAUGAACGCUGGCGGCGUGCCUAAUACAUGCAAGUCGAGCGAACGGACGAGAAGCUUGCUUUUCUGAUGUUAGCGGCGGACGGGUGUGUAACACGUGGAUAACCUACCUAUAAGACUGGGAUAACUUCGGGAAACCGGAUCUAAUACCGGAUACUAUUUUGAACCGCAUGGUUCAAAAGUGAAAGACGGUCUUGCUGUCACUUAUAGAUGGAUCCGCGCUGCAUUAGCUAGUUGGUAAGGUAACGGCUUACCAAGGCAACGAUGCAUAGCCGACCUGAGAGGGUGAUCGGCCACACGGGAACUGAGACACGGUCCAGAGUCCUACGGGAGGCAGCAGUAGGGAAUCUUCCGCAAUGGGCGAAAGCCUGAAGGAGCAACGCCGCGUGAGUGAUGAAGGUCUUCGGAUCGUAAAACUCUGUUAUUAGGGAAGAACAGAUGUGUAAGUAACUGUGCACAUCGUGACGGUACCUAAUCAGAAAGCCACGGCUAACUACGUG